CCUACGGGAGGCAGCAGUGAGGAAUAUUGGUCAAUGGGCGCGAGCCUGAACCAGCCAAGUCGCGUGAGGGAAGACGGUCCUAUGGAUUGUAAACCUCUUUUGUCGGGGAGCAAAAGACGCCACGCGUGGCGUUCCGAGAGUACCCGAAGAAAAAGCAUCGGCUAACUCCGUGCCAGCAGCCGCGGUAAUACGGAGGAUGCGAGCGUUAUCCGGAUUUAUUGGGUUUAAGGGGUGCGCAGGCGGAAGAUCAAGUCAGGGGUAAACUUGGGGGGCUCAACCUCUUAGAGCCGUUGAAACUGGUUUUCUUGAGUGGGUGAGAAGUAUGCGGAAUGCGUGGUGUAGCGGUGAAAUGCAGAGAUAUCACGCAGAACUCCGAUUGCGAAGGCAGCAUACCGGCGCUCAACUGACGCUGAUGCACGAAAGUGUGGUUAUCGAACAGGAUUAGAUACCCGGGUAGUC
Molecule: ribosomal RNA, 459 nt
Filed under: uncultured bacterium
Lineage: Bacteria
Description: partial 16S ribosomal RNA
Rfam family: Bacterial small subunit ribosomal RNA
Source: RNAcentral